UGCGGACAGUGUCUGGUGGGUAGUUUGACUGGGGCGGUCUCCUCCUAAAGAGUAACGGAGGAGCACGAAGGUUGGCUAAUCCUGGUCGGACAUCAGGAGGUUAGUGCAAUGGCAUAAGCCAGCUUGACUGCGAGCGUGACGGCGCGAGCAGGUGCGAAAGCAGGUCAUAGUGAUCCGGUGGUUCUGAAUGGAAGGGCCAUCGCUCAACGGAUAAAAGGUACUCCGGGGAUAACAGGCUGAUACCGCCCAAGAGUUCAUAUCGACGGCGGUGUUUGGCACCUCGAUGUCGGCUCAUCACAUCCUGGGGCUGAAGUAGGUCCCAAGGGUAUGGCUGUUCGCCAUUUAAAGUGGUACGCGAGCUGGGUUUAGAACGUCGUGAGACAGUUCGGUCCCUAUCUGCCGUGGGCGCUGGAGAACUGAGGGGGGCUGCUCCUAGUACGAGAGGACCGGAGUGGACGCAUCACUGGUGUUCGGGUUGUCAUGCCAAUGGCACUGCCCGGUAGCUAAAUGCGGAAGAGAUAAGUGCUGAAAGCAUCUAAGCACGAAACUUGCCCCGAGAUGAGUUCUCCCUGACUCCUUGAGAGUCCUGAAGGAACGUUGAAGACGACGACGUUGAUAGGCCGGGUGUGUAAGCGCAGCGAUGCGUUGAGCUAACCGGUACUAAUGAACCGUGAGG
RNAcentral lists this ribosomal RNA (676 nucleotides) under Escherichia coli. RNAcentral's name for it is "partial 23S ribosomal RNA". It matches the Rfam family "Bacterial large subunit ribosomal RNA", at positions 2246 to 2915 of the family's 2925-position model. Lineage: Bacteria; Pseudomonadati; Pseudomonadota; Gammaproteobacteria; Enterobacterales; Enterobacteriaceae. The record is from RNAcentral.